This 286-nucleotide long non-coding RNA is filed under the name Homo sapiens (human). RNAcentral describes it as "non-protein coding lnc-PDPK1-1:1". Lineage: Eukaryota; Metazoa; Chordata; Mammalia; Primates; Hominidae. The record is from RNAcentral.
UUAGACCUGGGGUGGUGGCUGGUCAGGGCUCGGUGCUGGAGAAGGGGGCUGUGCGGGACCCAUGCGGGGCUGGGAAGUCUGUGACACUGAGGCCCUCAUCUCCUUGUCUCUAUCCUGUGUGGCCCUGUCCCACCUCUGGGAUCCUGGAGGAAUGAAGACCACCCAUGAGGAAGCCCUGAGGCAGGACCUGUGGAAUCUGCUCUUAAGGCUCUUAAGGGAGGUUUGCAGUCCCUAAAUGCUUCAGGUGGCCACGUCAGGCGGCACAGACUCCGCUCCCCAAGCCUGG